CCCCUAGAUGUUCUGGGCCGCACGCGCGCUACACUGAACAGUUCAACAAGUCUUAACCUUGGCCGAUAGGUCUGGGUAAUCUUUGAACGCUGUUCGUGAUUGGGAUAGACCUUUGCAAUUAUGGGUCUUCAACGAGGAAUUCCUAGUAAACGCAAGUCAUCAGCUUGCAUUGAUUACGUCCCUGCCCUUUGUACACACCGCCCGUCGCACCUACCGAUUGAAUGGUCCGGUGAAAUCUCGGGACGGCGGCUUGGUCGCUUGCGUCCGACUGCUGAAACUUGAUUAAACCAUAUCAUUUAGAGGAAGGUGAANCCGUAACA
This 320-nucleotide ribosomal RNA is filed under the name uncultured eukaryote. RNAcentral's name for it is "partial 18S ribosomal RNA". It matches the Rfam family "Eukaryotic small subunit ribosomal RNA", at positions 1470 to 1796 of the family's 1831-position model. The record is from RNAcentral.